AAACUAAACACUUUGAAUUGUGGCUACAACAUUAGACAAAACCAAACAACACACUACACAUACUCGCAUCUUUUUUACAUGGAUGAUGUUAAGUUGUAUGCCUCAACACAAACAAUUACAACAGCUGUUACAAAUUACGCACACAUAUUCAAAAGACAUCUGCAUGGAGUUUGGUCUAGACAAAUGCAAAACACUUCACAUAGAAAACGGAGUCCUAAAGAAAGACUUCACUUAUGAAAACAGGGAUACUAUCGAAUCCAUGGAAGAGGGUGAGGUGGAAAAGUGCAAAGUGUGAGCUAAUGCCCACAUCUCUGUGUAGAUCCGAACCCCGCACUCCCUCCAUCCCAUUCUUCCUCUUGGUUCUUACUUUUAUUGUUAUAUCAAUCUGUUUCCUCCAACCAUUUCUUAAAAUACUCCAGAUAUGGAAAACACUGUUCC
RNAcentral lists this long non-coding RNA (438 nucleotides) under Androctonus crassicauda. Lineage: Eukaryota; Metazoa; Arthropoda; Arachnida; Scorpiones; Buthidae. The record is from RNAcentral.